RNAcentral lists this ribosomal RNA (303 nucleotides) under uncultured bacterium. RNAcentral's name for it is "partial 16S ribosomal RNA". It matches the Rfam family "Bacterial small subunit ribosomal RNA", at positions 507 to 808 of the family's 1533-position model. The record is from RNAcentral.
AGCAGCCGCCGCGGGAAAUACGAAGGGGGCUAGCGUUGUUCGGAUUUACUGGGCGUAAAGGGCGCGUAGGCGGACUGAUAAGUCAGGGGUGAAAUCCCAAGGCUCAACCUUGGAGCUGCCUUUGAUACUGUUUGUCUUGAGUUCGAGAGAGGUAAGUGGAACUGCGAGUGUAGAGGUGAAAUUCGUAGAUAUUCGCAAGAACACCAGUGGCGAAGGCGGCUUACUGGCUCGAAACUGACGCUGAGGCGCGAAAGCGUGGGGAGCAAACAGGAUUAGAUACCCCGGUAGUCCCUGUCUCUUAUU